Molecule: ribosomal RNA, 252 nt
Filed under: uncultured bacterium
Lineage: Bacteria
Description: partial 16S ribosomal RNA
Rfam family: Bacterial small subunit ribosomal RNA
Source: RNAcentral
UACAGAGGGUGCAAGCGUUAAUCGGAAUUACUGGGCGUAAAGCGUGCGUAGUCGGUUAUUUAAGUCGGAUGUGAAAUCCCCGGGCUCAACCUGGGAAUUGCAUUCGAUACUGGAUGGCUAGAGUUCGGCAGAGGGAAGUGGAAUUUCUGUGUAGCGGUGAAAUGCGUAGAUAUCAGAAGGAACAUCAGUGGCGAAAGCGACUUCCUGGACCAGAACUGACGAUUAGGCACGAAAGCGUGGGGAGCAAACAGG